UGGGCAGAUUUUUGAGUAUGCCCGCUGUACAAUUCCAGUCGCCGUUUUGAGGUUAGCUACUCGGGAUAUGCUGUCUUUGCCA
RNAcentral lists this microRNA precursor (82 nucleotides) under Bombyx mori (domestic silkworm). Its description in RNAcentral is "microRNA bmo-mir-3296 precursor". Lineage: Eukaryota; Metazoa; Arthropoda; Insecta; Lepidoptera; Bombycidae. The record is from miRBase by way of RNAcentral.